GACGAACGCUGGCGGCGUGCUUAACACAUGCAAGUCGAACGAUGAUGCCAGCUUGCUGGUGGAUUAGUGGCGAACGGGUGAGUAACACGUGAGCAACCUGCCCCUGACUUCGGGAUAACCGCGGGAAACCGUGGCUAAUACCGGAUAUUACGCGCUAUCGCAUGGUGGUGUGUGGAAAGAUUUAUCGGUUGGGGAUGGGCUCGCGGCCUAUCAGCUUGUUGGUGGGGUGAUGGCCUACCAAGGCGACGACGGGUAGCCGGCCUGAGAGGGUGACCGGCCACACUGGGACUGAGACACGGCCCAGACUCCUACGGGAGGCAGCAGUGGGGAAUAUUGCACAAUGGGCGCAAGCCUGAUGCAGCGACGCCGCGUGAGGGAUGACGGCCUUCGGGUUGUAAACCUCUUUCAGUAGGGAAGAAGGCCUUCGGGUUGACGGUACCUGCAGAAGAAGCGCCGGCUAACUACGUG
Molecule: ribosomal RNA, 468 nt
Filed under: uncultured bacterium
Lineage: Bacteria
Description: partial 16S ribosomal RNA
Rfam family: Bacterial small subunit ribosomal RNA
Source: RNAcentral